AAGUCGUAACAAGGUUUCCGUAGGUGAACCUGCGGAAGGAUCAUUAACACGUAUCCAACGUUAAACCCCCCGUGAACCUUCAGUGCGCUCGCACUUUCUUAGAAAAGGUAGCAAUCCCUGGUAAAUCAUUGCCGAACAGUUUUGAUUCAGGGACUUCUGCGUAGACUGUGCUUGAGCGUGAGGCAAGUGGCCUGGCAUUCCUCUGCUUGUUGGUGUCUGAAAGUGUCACCAGCUCUGUACGAAUGGCGCAGUCACGAUCGCUAGAGGCGGCGCGAGCCCCCCUCGUCACCUUUGCAUGAAAACGGGCCUGCGCUUAAUUGUGCGGCCACCAAACUCGAACAACUGUUAACAAUGGAUAUCUUGGUUCUC
Molecule: unclassified non-coding RNA, 369 nt
Filed under: fungal sp.
Lineage: Eukaryota; Fungi
Description: partial internal transcribed spacer region
Rfam family: Eukaryotic small subunit ribosomal RNA (bases 1-46)
Source: RNAcentral